CCUACGGGAGGCAGCAGUGAGGAAUAUUGGUCAAUGGGGGCAACCCUGAACCAGCCACGCCGCGUGAGGGAAGACGGUUUUCGGAUUGUAAACCUCUGUCCUCUGUGAGGAUAAUGACGGUAGCAGAGUAGGAAGCUCCGGCUAACUACGUGCCAGCAGCCGCGGUAAUACGUAGGGCGCAAGCGUUGUCCGGAUUUACUGGGGGUAAAGGGUGCGUAGGCGGCUUUGCAAGUCAGAAGUGAAAUCCAUGGGCUUAACCCAUGAACUGCUUUUGAUACUGGAGAGCUUGAGUGGAGUAGAGGUAGGCGGAAUUCCCGGUGUAGCGGUGAAAUGCGUAGAGAUCGGGAGGAACACCAGUGGCGAAGGCGGCCUGCUGGGCUCUAACUGACGCUGAGGCACGAAAGCGUGGGUAGCAAACAGGAUUAGAUACCCCAGUAGUC
This 440-nucleotide ribosomal RNA is filed under the name uncultured bacterium. Its description in RNAcentral is "partial 16S ribosomal RNA". It matches the Rfam family "Bacterial small subunit ribosomal RNA", at positions 338 to 795 of the family's 1533-position model. The record is from RNAcentral.